ACAGAGGGUGCUAGCGUUGUUCGGAAUUAUUGGGCGUAAAGCGCGUGUAGGCGGCCUAGCAAGUUGGGUGUGAAAGCCCUCGGCUUAACCGAGGAAGUGCGCCCAAAACUACUAGGCUUGAGUACCGGAGAGGAUGGCGGAAUUCCCGGUGUAGAGGUGAAAUUCGUAGAUAUCGGGAGGAACACCAGUGGCGAAGGCGGCCAUCUGGACGGAUACUGACGCUGAGACGCGAAAGCGUGGGUAGCAAACAGGA
Molecule: ribosomal RNA, 253 nt
Filed under: uncultured prokaryote
Description: partial 16S ribosomal RNA
Rfam family: Bacterial small subunit ribosomal RNA
Source: RNAcentral